UUUCAAGUUGAUUGGACUUUAACUUCAUUGAAAACUACCUUGACCAAAAACUUUAACCUGAAACUCACACUUUUAAUUUCUAUGUUCAGUGGACCAUGAAAAUGGGGUCAAAAGAUUAAUUUUGUUUUAAAAUAAGAAAGAUCAUAUCAUAAGGAACAUGUGUACUAAGUUUCAAGUUGAUUGGACUUUAGCUUCUUUAAAAACUACCUUGACCAAAAACUUUAACCUGAAAUGGGACGGACGGACGAACAGACGGACGCACAGACGGAGGGACGCACAGACCAGAAAACAUAAUGCCCCUCUACUAUCGUAGGUGGGGCAUAAAAAU
This 328-nucleotide long non-coding RNA is filed under the name Mytilus galloprovincialis (Mediterranean mussel). Lineage: Eukaryota; Metazoa; Mollusca; Bivalvia; Mytilida; Mytilidae. The record is from RNAcentral.